GCUGGGGUAGCUCUGUUGGUAGAGCAUGUGGCUUUUAAUCUCAAGGUGAUGGGUUCAAGCCCCAUGUUGGGCA
Podarcis lilfordi (Lilford's wall lizard) is the source of this 73-nucleotide non-coding RNA. The record is from the annotation of a GenBank genome assembly. Lineage: Eukaryota; Metazoa; Chordata; Lepidosauria; Squamata; Lacertidae.